GACGAACGCUGGCGGCGUGCUUAACACAUGCAAGUCGAACGGAAAGGCCCUGCUUUUGUGGGGUGCUCGAGUGGCGAACGGGUGAGUAACACGUGAGUAACCUGCCCUUGACUUUGGGAUAACUUCAGGAAACUGGGGCUAAUACCGGAUAGGAGCUCCUGCUGCAUGGUGGGGGUUGGAAAGUUUCGGCGGUUGGGGAUGGACUCGCGGCUUAUCAGCUUGUUGGUGGGGUAGUGGCUUACCAAGGCUUUGACGGGUAGCCGGCCUGAGAGGGUGACCGGCCACAUUGGGCCUGAGAUACGGCCCAGACUCCUACGGGAGGCAGCAGUGGGGAAUAUUGCACAAUGGGCGGAAGCCUGAUGCAGCAACGCCGCGUGCGGGAUGACGUCCUUCGGGUUGUAAACCGCUUUCGCCUGUGACGAAGCGUGAGUGACGGUAAUGGGUAAAGAAGCACCGGCUAACUACGUG
Molecule: ribosomal RNA, 468 nt
Filed under: uncultured bacterium
Lineage: Bacteria
Description: partial 16S ribosomal RNA
Rfam family: Bacterial small subunit ribosomal RNA
Source: RNAcentral